Molecule: ribosomal RNA, 460 nt
Filed under: uncultured bacterium
Lineage: Bacteria
Description: partial 16S ribosomal RNA
Rfam family: Bacterial small subunit ribosomal RNA
Source: RNAcentral
CCUACGGGAGGCAGCAGUGAGGAAUAUUGGUCAAUGGACGAGAGUCUGAACCAGCCAAGUAGCGUGAAGGAUGACUGCCCUCUGGGUUGUAAACUUCUUUUAUAUGGGAAUAAAUUGUUCCAUGUGAGGGAUUUUGUAUGUACCAUAUGAAUAAGGAUCGGCUAACUCCGUGCCAGCAGCCGCGGUAAUACGGAGGCUCCGAGCGUUAUCCGGAUUUAUUGGGUUUAAAGGGAGCGUAGGUGGAUUGUUAAGUCAGUUGUGAAAGUUUGCGGCUCAACCGUAAAAUUGCAGUUGAAACUGGCAGUCUUGAGUACAGUAGAGGUGGGCGGAAUUCGUGGUGUAGCGGUGAAAUGCUUAGAUAUCAAGAAGAACACCGAUUGCGAAGGCAGCUCGCUGGACUGCAACUGACACUGAGGCUCGAAAGUGUGGGUAUCAAACAGGAUUAGAUACCCCAGUAGUC